RNAcentral lists this non-coding RNA (26 nucleotides) under Cricetulus griseus (Chinese hamster). The record is from RNAcentral. Lineage: Eukaryota; Metazoa; Chordata; Mammalia; Rodentia; Cricetidae.
UCUGGAGAAACUAUGGGUUUGGCAUU